Molecule: ribosomal RNA, 700 nt
Filed under: Phalacroma rapa
Lineage: Eukaryota; Dinophyceae; Dinophysales; Dinophysaceae
Description: LSU rRNA
Rfam family: Eukaryotic large subunit ribosomal RNA
Source: RNAcentral
AGCAUAUAAGUAAGUGAGAAAGAAAAUGAAUAUGAUUCCCUUAGUAAGGGCGACUGAACCGGGAAGAGCUCAACAUGCUAAUCCGUGCUUGCACUGAAUUGUAGUUUUAAGCAUCACCAGGAGAGACGCGGGCGCAAGUCUUUUUGGAACAAAGCAUCAGAGAGGGUGAGAAUCCCGUCUCGUCUGUAGUUCUCUCCGUUCGGUGUGUUUUAAGAGAGUCGCGUACUUUGGAAGUGGUGCGCUAAAUGGGAGGUAAUUUUCUUCUAAAGCUAAAUACUGACUCGAGACCGAUAGCAAACAAGUACCGUGAGGGAAAGGUGAAAAGGACUUUGAAAAGAGAGUUAAAAGUGCCUGAAAUCGCUAAGAAGGAAGCGAAUGAAACCAGUUUCUUAUCACAAGAUUGCUUUACGAUAUCUGGAUCUGCGCUUUGGUCACUUCGGGGCUCUGGCGUUGUUGAAGGGGACUUGUGGAGUGUUUCUUGUGGUUAGUCGUCAAAGUCAAUUGCGUGUUCGAGGAAAUCUGCGUGAUGUCGUCAGUUCCGCUGUUGUGGUUCUUCGGCUUGCGUAAGGGCUCUUACCGCGAUUGAGGAAUGCGUGCGAUGGUUGAAAAUCUGGGCGACAGUUUGUAGUAAUCCUAGAUUGCUGCUCUCCUAGCUUUGAAAAGAAUGCUAUCGUCCAAGACUUGACUAAAUGUUUUCCCG